AGAGUUUGAUCCUGGCUCAGAACGAACGCUGGCGGCGUGGAUAAGACAUGCAAGUCGAACGCUUGCUUUAGGGUAGCAAUAUUCUGGAGCAGGAGUGGCGGAAGGGUGCGUAACAUGUGGGUAAUCUGCCGUGAAGGCUGGGAUAACUUGCUGAAAGGCGAGCUAAUACCGGAUGAGAUAGCCAGGAGAGAGCUUUUGGCUAUGAAAGUUGGGGACUGUAAAAGGCCUGACGCUUCAUGAUGAGCCCGCAACCUAUCAGCUAGUUGGUGAGGUAAAGGCUCACCAAGGCUAAGACGGGUAGCUGGUCUGAGAGGACGACCAGCCACACUGGAACUGAGAGACGGUCCAGACACCUACGGGUGGCAGCAGUCGAGAAUUUUUCACAAUGGGCGAAAGCCUGAUGGAGCGACGCCGCGUGGGGGAUGAAUGGCUUCGGCCCGUAAACCCCUGUCAUUUGCGAACAAACCUUGCUAUUUAAAAGAUGGCGAGCUGAUUGUAGCGAAAGAGGAAGGGACGGCUAACUCUGUGCCAGCAGCCGCGGUAAUAC
RNAcentral lists this ribosomal RNA (547 nucleotides) under uncultured bacterium. Its description in RNAcentral is "bacterial SSU rRNA". It matches the Rfam family "Bacterial small subunit ribosomal RNA", at positions 8 to 526 of the family's 1533-position model. The record is from RNAcentral.